Molecule: ribosomal RNA, 625 nt
Filed under: Alteromonas sp. SET30
Lineage: Bacteria; Pseudomonadati; Pseudomonadota; Gammaproteobacteria; Alteromonadales; Alteromonadaceae
Description: bacterial SSU rRNA
Rfam family: Bacterial small subunit ribosomal RNA
Source: RNAcentral
CCUGCUAGCCGUGACGUUAACAACAGAAGAAGCACCGGCUAACUCCGUGCCAGCAGCCGCGGUGGGUGCGAGCGUUAAUCGGAAUUACUGGGCGUAAAGCGCACGCAGGCGGUUUGUUAAGCUAGAUGUGAAAACCUCGGUCAUUUAGAACUGGCAGACUAGAGUCUUGGAGAGGGGAGUGGAAUUCCAGGUGUAGCGGUGAAAUGCGUAGCUGGAGGAACAUCAGAGGCGACUGGCGCUCAUGUGCGAAAGUGUGGGUAGCGAACAGGAUUAGAUACCCUGGUAGUCCACACCGUAAACGCUGUCUACUAGCUGUUGGCUUUAAGCCGUGAGUAGCGAAGCUAAGUAGACCGCCUGGGGAGUACGGCCGCAAGGUUAAAACUCAAAUGAAUUGACGGGGGGCGGUGGAGCAUGUGGUUUAAUUCGAUGCAACGCGAAGAACCUUACCUACACUUGACAUGUUGAGAAGUUAGAGAUGGUUUCGUGCCUUCGGGAACUCAAACAUGCUGCAUGGCUGUCGUCAGCUCGUGUCGUGGUUGGGUUAAGUCCCGCAACGAGCGCAACCCUUGUCCUUAUAGUUGGCACUCUAAGGACUGCCGGUGACAAACCGGAGGAAGGUAGUCAU